AGUGAACGCUGGCGGUAGGCCUAACACAUGCAAGUCGAACGGCAGCACAGUAAGAGCUUGCUCUUACGGGUGGCGAGUGGCGGACGGGUGAGGAAUACAUCGGAAUCUACUUUUUCGUGGGGGAUAACGUAGGGAAACUUACGCUAAUACCGCAUACGACCUACGGGUGAAAGCAGGGGAUCUUCGGACCUUGCGCGAUUGAAUGAGCCGAUGUCGGAUUAGCUAGUUGGCGGGGUAACGGCCCACCAAGGCGACGAUCCGUAGCUGGUCUGAGAGGAUGAUCAGCCACACUGGAACUGAGACACGGGCCAGACUCCUACGGGAGGCAGCAGUGGGGAAUAUUGGACAAUGGGCGCAAGCCUGAUCCAGCCAUACCGCGUGGGUGAAGAAGGCCUUCGGGUUGUAAAGCCCUUUUGUUGGGAAAGAAAAGCAGCAGGUUAAUACCCCGCUGUUCUGACGGUACCCAAAGAAUAAGCACCGGCUAACUUCGU
RNAcentral lists this ribosomal RNA (491 nucleotides) under uncultured bacterium. RNAcentral describes it as "partial 16S ribosomal RNA". It matches the Rfam family "Bacterial small subunit ribosomal RNA", at positions 29 to 506 of the family's 1533-position model. The record is from RNAcentral.